Non-coding RNA from Equus caballus (horse), 10809 nucleotides. The record is from RefSeq and is a predicted model, not a curated record. NCBI's taxonomy places the organism in Eukaryota, Metazoa, Chordata, Mammalia, Perissodactyla, Equidae.
CCCCAAAAACACUAGGAAAUUAGGGAAACAAAUAUUCUUCAUGUCUCUGGAAAUAUUUUUCAAAUAGCUCUUAUCAUCACCUGUGAGAUUCUUUUCUCUUGAUUUUACAAAGGAGAAUGCAUAGCACUCAGACAAGUAUACACAAGUCUUAUGUGUUUUUCUCCUACACUCUUUUUCCCCCACAGAGGCUAGCUAUAAAUAGGCACCUAAGAAUUUCACCCUACAGUCUGGCAAAUCCAUUCUAUGUUAUUUCAUUUCCAGAAAGAAUUGUGCCUAAGUUGUUAUGAAUGGGCAAAGGUAUUCCCUGGACUGAUUUUAUCAGAAGUUAUAGAAGCAAACAUUUCAUUUCCCAGUUUUCUGAAUUUGAGUCAUAAUGGUAGGACUGUCACCAAGACAACAGAGACCUAUGCAGUGAACCUGAGAGAGAUGGUAAACAUCCUUCCAGAAGACCCACAUUCAGAAAGCACUUCGCUGAAGCUUUUGGACAAAAUAGGAAAUUCUCAGAAACCACUUGAAAAGAUGGUGGCACAAUGACCACAGACACUGUGACAUAAAAUAGAUGAUUACCCCCAAAGAAAGCCAAAGAUAAUGAAAAGACGUGUAACCUGAGAAUACUAGGAAAGAACGGAGGAGUCAUCAGGCAGAAGAUGGUACAGACGUGGAAUAUGUGAAUACAAGGCUUCAAAAAAAACACUGGAGAAAAAUUACAGGCUCAUCUUCAUUUGAGACCAGAAACAGGGUUCGCAUUUGCUACACUGAUCCUUUAGAAACCUAACUGAGAAACCAUGAUCACACAAUUUUGGGGGCUGUAAGAAUUACUUCAAGCAGGAGAUAAUAAUUCACCUGGAUUGCACACAGAGAGACGCGUAAGUAAAGAGCCUUUUGACUUAGAGAUAACAAACACCAAAGUGUAGAAAACUGCAAAUAUAUAAUACACUGUGGCUUAAAUAUGAGAUGUAUAGAAGAAUAUGUUAGAAGACAAAAUCAUAGAUGACAUAAACAACGUAUCACCAGGAAAUGGGUUACAACUGGAAAGUUUUUUUUACAAAGUAAGUGACACGAGGAAUCUCUAUUUUUCAAGACUCUGUUACAGUUGUGUUGAUGUUAAUAGAAGCAGAUGUGUUCAAGCAAGGAAUAACAGAGCAAGAACCUUGAUGCUGCAGUAAUUAAGGUGAUGACAAUGAUGACGGUGAUGACGGUGGUGAUAGUACUGGUGAUGGUGACAGUGAUGGUGAUGCCGGAGUUAGAGAUGUUAGGAACCUGCAAAGCAGUGACUACUUAUAGAGUUCUUUGUAUGUACCAAGAACUUGCUAACAUAUAAUGUCAAUUACCUCUGAUCUUAAUAGCAAAUCUUUGAGGACAAUUUAUCUCCCAUAGAUGAAUAAGUGAGCCUUGUAAGAAUUAAAUAGCUCUCCUAAGGUCACAUACUAUCAGAGGCCAGACAGGAAGGCAGGUCUGUAAGGCUUCACAGCCCACACACUUAGACUUUCACCACAGUGCUUUCCCUUAGUCACGGGAGGGGGACACACACUGUAGAAACCAAGAGGAUGUAAGGAGGAGUUUCCAAUCAGAGCUUCAAGUAGAAUCGAGCAACAAGUAGUAUAAAUACUGUAAACAAACACAAACCCAGUAAUUUCAGAGGGCAGUGGUGACGUUAGAGAACAGGUAGUGACCAUGGAAGCCAGACUGUAAGGACGGAAAGGCUGGUGGAAGCCUCCUGGAGUUUUCAGGGAGAUAAGGUGUUAUUUGAAGGAGGAAAGCAAGAUUAAAAGAAAGUUAUUUUAAAAAUUUUUCUGUUUUGCUUAUUACAGUAGGAAAGUCUCAACGAUCUUCAGGGCUUCCAGCAAAUGAGCUGUCAAAGGUGAGAAGGAAAUUUCAGGAGCAUUCGGGAGAUGAGGGGCACAGCCCUGGAGAAAUGAAACUGUGUGAUUAAAGGAACUGGUGGGUAAGACGGCUGAAGCCACAGAUUUAGAAGCUAAGGCAUUUUAUUUUCAAAUCACUGGUCAGGUAGAGAAUGAAUCUUAGACUAAGAAUGAGUCAGGCCGAUGGGGUGGAGAGAAGGGAGCUGCCUGGACUCACACUCUCACUUCAGAGGUUCUGCUCAGCAAAAAGGCAGCGACCAAGAAGGAAAUCAAUCUUUUUGUCAAAGUACAGGCAGAUGGAAAGUCCACAUAAAGUCAAGGGAGGUGAAGAAAACCUAGCAAUGGGGAAACAGGGAGAGAGAAUGCUCAUAUGUCUGGGCAGGUGGAGAAACACAUCCUUAAAUUCAGGACGGGUCCAGGUCAAGAGAGAUUACGGUCUGAAAGGGGCUGCACAUAUCUUCUGAUAAAGAAUGGACAGAAAGGGGGAUGGCUGUACAGCAAUUUAUGACCAAACUGGAGGAAAGCUGACGUGAUUCUCAACAGUGGUUUCUCACUGCUCGGAGAAGUAGGAAUCCAGGGACGUGCAAAAGAGGGCGUGAAGGUGUCAGAGGAGCCAGAAGACGUGGACCAGCCAUUCUGGGGAAAUGAAGGCGUGCCACAGCCAUGAGAAAUGGAGCUGGUAACACCUGUGGACUCAGUGGAAAACUACGCGGCAUUUUACAAACGGAAGGCACAGGCUAUGCGAUUAAAUGUCCAUUAUCACACUGCAAGAAACACGAGACCCAAACGAUUUUAAUCACCCAUGAGUGUAAAAACGUGUUCCGUGCAGAAGCAGUAUGUCUAGAAAUAUUAGGGUACCCGGGGCUUUGAAAUGAAACAGCCUCAGUUCCUUGCGGCAACCUCCUCCAACAUUAGAGGCCACAUGACAACGAAACCACCGCGAGCUCCAUCUGGUCUCCGCCUAGCACGGGCGGCUGCGCACGCCCCGAGGGGCUGUUUUGGAUUGAAUAUGGCCUGCAGUACAGUGCGCACCUGCAUACAGGAAGAUGCUCCACGGCCGCUCUAUCAAACGGAUUUCCAAAACGAGGCUGUGCUUUCAUCUGCUCCUCUGUGUCUGUAUUCGGGCAAUCACUGUCUUCCACAGUCUAGCGUUCUCUAUUCCCCCUGCACACACUGUCCCCCCUGGAUUUACAGUGCUCUGUGUAUGGAGAGGGAAGUACUGUAUAUGCUUGAAAUAUUAUCUUAUUAAGUUGUUUUAGUUCUUAGUUCUCAUACCCAUGGGGUAGAUAGGAAGGAAGCAGUGUUAUUUAAUUAUAAAGUAACUCUCUCCUUAACGAAACACUUUAAAUUAUACCAGGGCAAUGUUUUCACGGGUGGUAUUUAAAUGGAAGUUAGAUACAGCUGUCUCCAGGGCACUCGUACUCUGUCCUCCACCCUUAAUUUGACCUGAAGACAGCCCCCCGAGCUCAGUUAGCUGGCUGGUGAAGGGAAGGGAAACAUGACAACACACCCAUUAAUCGGACUUGGAGAACACAUAUAUCAACGUUUUCUAAAAGCUCUAACGGGGCCUGGAAAAAGGACGAAGGGUUUUUACGCAACAUGAGAAUUAUCUUCCUUUAAGAUGCUUAUUUUUGAAAAGAAUUUUAUUUUAGGGGAAACUUAAACAAAUCGACCAUGUCUACAUCAGAAGAUCGGCACAAAACACCAUUCACCAGAAAAUAGAAAGUCUUAGGCGCCAUGUUACCAAGCCAACGCCCAGAGUAAAUUCCUUAGAGAAAUAUUUCCCCUGUGUCUGCAACCUUUCCUCUUCCUGACAGCCAAAGCAUUCAGCUCCUGCUCUUCUCUCUUCCAUCAUAAAUACUUUGAAUCUUUUUUCCAUCUUGCGGUUUCUUCUCUUCCUCCUUCAAACACUGAAUUUCCCUGGGUUGAUCUCUGUUCCCCGCAGAUGCCUAUCAUCAACUGAUCUUCCUUUCUUUCAGGUCUACAUCAAGCUCAUCCUUGGCAGCUGGCCUUACCAUCUAAUUCUCCAAGAGAAAUCCAGACAGACCUUCUAAUCUAUCCUGAGCACACUCGCGGAGCUGCCCUCCACUGCUGUCAGUAACUCUGCUCUCUCUCAUCUUUCUCUCCACAGUCAAAAAAUAGAGACGGCCCAUCCUGCUCGGUCAGGCCAAACCACCCGGACACCGACCCCCAUCUCCUCCUCCUGAGGGAUACACCAGCCCCUCUGACCAGAACCAGGCUGGUCCAUGACAUAUCAUCAUAAAACGCACCAGGUCAGUAAAAACGAUUUUUCUUUGCUUCCCAUCAGUUACUGAGAUUAUUUUUACAAUGUCUCUUAAACUCUCUCUUCUUUGUAUUCCCAUAUUCUCUCCCUUCUAUGGAGGAAGUCACCUAGACUAGGAUAAUUAUAUAGUAACUGCUCUGCUUGCUUUUGGUUUCUACUGUCAAGUCAAAUAAUGCAACCUUAAUUAUAAUUCCCCAAAUCAACUGCUUUCACAUCAGCCUUAUAUUUAAAAAUCUCCAUAGGCAUCCCUUGCCAGAAAGAUGAGCUCCAAACUCCUCUGCCCACCUUGCCCAUCGGAUGUCCUGCCACAGCCCUGUGGGGUUCCCACUGCAGACCCUGAGAAGACUCAGGCCAUGUCCUCUCAUCCUUUUAUCCACCUUCUCUCCUUUUCUUCCUGAAAGGCCCAUCUCAAGUCCACUUUUGUCCAAAGGACUUUCUAAUCAAUCUUGUUGGACAUGUUUCCAAAUUUGACAAUUAUUGGCAGACGAAGCCUUACAUUGUCACUGAUAUUUUUGGGCACCAAUCCUAUUCUCCCUCUAAGGCAUGGAUACUCUAUUCUUAUCACAAAGGUUGGUGCCUUUUCCGCAGUAACUCUUUUUGUUUUUGAAGAAAAUGCUGAUGAGGUGUUGUCAUCUAUCCAGGCUCAGGCUGUUAUCUUCCACAGGUACCUCUGUUUCACGUGUUCUAUCUUAAACACCAUCCCUGUUGAAACUGAACACAACCCCUUUACUUUCCAUCAGCAGCUUCUUAAUGAUUUUCAAAGCCACCUCCAUACUCUCAUGGCCCAAAGCCUACUGGAGUCUUUGAAAUUAAUUUGCUUCCAAUUUCUCCCAUCACUAAAAUAUUUUGCAAGUCUAUGCCAGAUUUACUCAGUAAAAAAUGAGUUUUAUCAAUCAAAAGCAAUUAAUGUGUAUAAUGUAUGUGCCUGCACUCCUGGAGCAAGAAAUUAAAUAUUGCCUCUUGAACUUAACUGCCACAGCUCAGUUUGACACUCAAGAGUGUUCAUCAAUUUGACACAUGUUCUCAUCUCAAAUAUUUCUCUUUAUUUAGUCUAUAUAUUUAAGAGACUUGUUAAUGUACGUCUUUAUAUUUCAAGAGUGUUCUACCGCAACUGAAAAGGCAUUACCUUUUUUGAGCUAAGCCAAUUCCCAUAAUCUCUUAACAAGUUAACUAAUUCCAUAUCCCAAUUUUGAUGUCUUGUAAUACUUAUAAUGCCUUAUCUGGCAAUUUGUUUACAUACUACUUAUAAAUCACUUCAAAUUUUCAUGCACAAAUUUUUAACCAAUGAAAUCAUAGAUUCAUGAAAAGCUAGAACUUUUGUUAUAAAUGUCUUGUAAUUUCUACAGGAUCUGGCAUGGGCUCAUGUGGAAUGAAUAGCCAGCUAAUGAUAAUUCAAUUAAACUGACAGAAUUACAGGAAAUAUAUAAUUAGUACCCAGUUAUUCAUAUGACUACAUCGCAUCUUCAGGGUGCUGUAUGUUACACAGACAGAGGAUUUAGAAUGGUGUCACCCACAGAGUCUGUGCUCAGAAAAUAAUCACAUCUUCUCAACAAUUAAAAACAUUGUAAUAUGUCCUCUUCCAUUAUGUUCUCUCUACAUAUGAAGGGGAUUUUCUAGCAGCGAAUGGACUCUAAUUUUGACAAUGGCUACAAACAGAUGGGGGAAUGAGGAUAGGAUUGGAUUGUGUGUUCUGUUUUUCUUUUAAACCAUCAGCUUUUCUUAUUUCUCUACAGGUUGUAUUUUGAAUUAUUUGAGUGCAAGAUGCUUCCUUGAUAUGGCGGGAAAUUUAAUGUCUUUUGGUUAUGUAAAUGUGUUAUAAUACCUAGGAGACAACCAUUUUGCAUCAUAAUCUAUUUUUAAACAGUUUCUUCCUUCCUCCAUGAACUUACAACUCUGCAGUUUUAUUUUAUUUUAUUUUACUUAACUACAGGCUGGGCUGUGACUGGGCAAAAGGGAGCCGAGGUGGAAACAUGUUUUCCUCUGCUUGGCCUUGGCGUAAGAAGGGCCGUGGGGCCGGGAAUGGGGGAGGUGGGCAUAAACUGCUUGGGAGUGACCUGGGUGCAGAGAGUCAUCGAGAGGAGAUAAAAUGGCCUAUGAAACACAGUAGAAGACAAAGCAAUGAGUGCUCAGCAGGACAAGUCUUGUCUUAUGGAGCCUGAGAGCAGUUCUAUCUAGAUCUGAGUCGUGGUCAUUGUUGCCUGGGUCUGGCAUUUUCCAUAAGUACUGUUAGUUAGUAGAGCUUGGACUUCGCUCUGCUCUGAGAGACAGGCUUGGAGGAGGUGCAGUUCUGGUGGAGGAACAGCAUCCUGGGAGAGGGGAGCUGUGCUUUCUUUUGAGGAGCCAAAGACAACUCCUAGAGGAUGAGGACAACAGUCUCAGCAACCCAGGGCAGACUGGAGGGAGAGGUGAGAGCUUGCUGGGACUCCCAGAAAUACCUGGGAAGGGAAUUUGGGAAGGACAAGAUUCCUGCAGGCUGAGAUGUAGACAACGGUUGUUGAGGCAAGGCAGAAGUCCGCAACAUUUCAGUGAAGUGCUUUACAACUGCACAGUUUUCCUGGCCUAUGGGAUACACAUCUUCCACCAACCUGCACCUCCCCUCCUCAGCCAGCACCUCAACCCCACCCCUGCACUGGUCGAUGGGAGGUUUUGAAACACAGCAAGAGAGGUUGUUAAAAAUAAGGCAGAAGUGAAUGGAAGUCUUUGCAGAAUAAAGAAAUUAUCGUUAAAUGCCAGAAAGAAAAAAAAAAUGUGUGAAUAAAAUUGUAAGCAAAGAUAAAACUACAAAUUAAUUGAGCAUUUUCUUUUUAUAUUUUGCUUCAGUGCAAAUACACAGAAGAACUACAUUUGACAACAUGGAAAAAUAAGGGCUAAUCUAUUCAAAUUUAGGGAUUCAUUUAUUCACGGGCUCUAAACAACGGGAAUAGAAAAACACUGUUCUGAGGCAGUCAAUACCAUGUUUGCCCUAUUUUGAUUGACCCUCUUCCACAAAUUCAUCUUCUACUCCAGUCACAUAGAUUCAAAGUGUGUGAUCAACAUCAGGUAGUUUAGAAUCAUUCAAAUCUUUCAAAACUACUCAGUGAUCACAAGAGGACUCACUGUUUAACAAAAGACCCUUAACAUAAAAUAUUCCAAAACUGGCUACUUCUUUUUAGAGCAAUAGUUCUUGUUCCUUCCACAAAAUAUGCAGAUACUGAUGUUUGUGGCAGCAAUAUUAACUGUGGAAUUUUAAUAAAACGGGUUUCAUGAUAUAGCUGCUAAAACUUUAAUGUAAUUUUUUUUCAAUUAUCCACUAUGGUCACAAAAUGGAUGCUCUUUAAUCAAGUAUUCUGGUUAGCAUAGAGAUAUUGCACGUGGCUUACCAAUUAUCCAAGAAUUAGAAUACACUAAAAUAGUUAACUCCUCAAUUAUUAUAAAUAAUUUAACUUUCCAUUGGUUCAGAUUGCGCUCUGGAGCUUGUGUCAUUGUAGCAUCGUACGUGUCCACCAUGUCUGUGUGGAUGUGUAGAAAUGCUGCCGAAAAGCCCAGGCACAGAGGGCUCUGCUCUGUUUGACUAUUUCGACUUAUCCAUCAGCAAUGACACCCUUGAUUUAGAAUGCCAGACUCCUCUUUUAUGUAUUCUGCAACUGUGCCAUGGUUAUUGCUGCAAAAAUGUUAGAAUAGGUAAUCGUAGUGAUUAAACCAUGGUGAUUUAUGAAAUUUAAUAACUUUUUUCCUGACAGCCAGUGUUAUUGGACAGAUUCACACUGACAUAAAACUUAAUCAUGAUGUAGUUAUUUGAAACCACUUUUAUUCAACAUUACAAUAUGGGGCUAAUUUACAUGUGAUAUUGCCAAUGAAAUACUAAUAGUGCUAAUGACCAUUUUUGCUAAAUGGUAAUAUGAAGGCUGUGGGCAUUUUGUUGCCAAGAAAACUCUCAACUAGAUAAUUCUGAUUAUUUCUAGGUUUCAUAAUCUUCCCUAAACUAUUCAAAGAUUCUUCUAUCUUACACUUUCAUAUCAACCUUCUUGCCUAGUCUAUCAUCACUGCCAAAUUUGCAAAGGCGAUUGGCUCAAAUGAUUCCACUGAUAGUACUUAGAUGAAUUACACUAAAGUAUAUGGAAAUGGUACAUUCAGUUUCUGAGUCAAUUCUAGGAGAUUCCUUCUGUUGCUUGAGAAUGUAUUCUAUAGGUUCAAAUGGAUAAAAAUAAUACUUGAUUAAAAAGCACAUCAUCUGACUACAGAUUGCAAUAAAGAAUUCUGAGUCAAUUGGUCCAUUUCCACAAGCUCUGCCAUGAAUAGGAAUGUUAUAUAAAUGUUUGCCUUGAGUGAUUUCACUCCUGCUGCUGCUCACCACACAUGCAUGGCUGAUUCACUGCUCUCUGAGAAGCAAGGCAGAGGGUCACAUACACGUGAGCCUAUUUUUCUGUCCACAAAGCCAGAGUCUUCAUUCAGAUAGGCUAUUUUUACAUCAAAAGCAUAUUUUUCACAAAUACAUAUUUAUACAUAAAUAAAUCCACUCAUUACAUGUGAUUGUAUAAUUUAAUUCACUGAAGUCAAUUUCAUUUCCUAUUUCCAAAGGGGCUCACUGCCUCUGGUCACCUGAACCCCACCUAAGCCAUUGCUAGCAUGGGCUGCCUUAAGGUAGCGACCUAUGGAAGCUGUAAGGUGGCUCUAAACCUGCUGCUUUUAUGACCAAUGGGUUCCGUCCAAAAGACACAACACUCAAUACCAGAGCAAAUUCAACAAUCCGCAAGGGAAAACGAAUGGACUACGGGACUAAGAACAUACAAGGAAGUAUUAGAGGAUGUGAACAUCGAAUUAUCUUCAAAAAGUAUUAAAUAAAAUUAAAAUGUUAGUUUAAAAGGACUAGAGAGUCAAAAAAAUUACUAAAUAAAUGAAUGCUUUCAGAGAGUCUGGAAAAACCCAUAUUAGAAAAAAAAUAAAUAAAAGAGAGAAAGCCCAAGGGUAAAGAACAAAACGCUUUGCUAGAAAUGGGGAGUGAAAAAGGAGAACAGUUUUACAGCCCAAUAAAGAGGAUGCUAAAGGGCCACUGAAAAAACAUUCUUGUCACAGGGGACUGUGCUGAGCUCUAUUAAGACACGAGAAAUAGGAUUCUAAUUACAAUGUAGUCGUAUGUACUAUUAAAACCCAAUUUAUUUGAUUAUAUAAAAAUUAUAAGCAUUUCUAUAGUGAGAUUCUUGCUAAACAAAGUUUCAGAAAGGAUUCUCAUACAUCAGUAAGAAGACAGCAACAAUCAUAAUAAAAAGGGAGAAGUUGGCUAAUGACAUGAACAAGAGGUAUCCAAAAAAAUACAGAUCACUAAUAAAGAUAGGCAACGAUUGUCAUUUCACUAGUAAUCAAAGUACAUUGAAAUAGUAACACGAUACAUUAAAAAUUAUGCUAGUAAAUAUUUUUGGUUUUAUAUAAAUUAUUUAAAUUGAUAUUAUCCAGUGUUGGCAAGGCUAUACUAGAAGGGACAUUCUCAAGUUUUAGGGAGGCUAAUUUACAAUACUGGUUUGUAAAAAUAGAAAAAAGGUAAAUAUUCAUAUCUGUGAUCUAGAAUUCCACUUAUAGGAAUGCAUCUGUGAGAAAAUUUGUACAGAGUUGUUCAUUGCAGCAGUUUCUACAAAUAAAUGUGCCCAUCAACAGAAGAAUGGCAAAGGGCGACUGGCAAAUGCUAAGAUGUCAAUAACUGUAGCGUUAUCAUCAUCAUCAGCAUCAUACUUACAAACUGUAACAAACAGACACAGAAGGAGAGUUGUUAUAUCAUGAAGUGAAAAAAGCCAGCAGAGGUCCCAAAUAAAUAAUAAGAUCUCACGGAGGAGAAACAGUAACUAGAUGUGUACACACACACCAUGUAUAUAUAUUUAUAGGUAUGUUCUAAAUUCAUUUCUAAAUAUGUAUCAAUAGACAAAUACAUAGAUAUAAAGAUGUACACAUAAAUAUAUAUAAAUGACAUUUAUGCAAUGCACAAAAAUCUUGUGGAAAAGUUUUUUUAUUGUGAUUAAGAAACAUAAAAUUUUACUCAAUUGUUUUUAAGUGCACAAUUCAUUAGUGUUAAGUGUAUCCACAUCUUUGUGAAACAUCUCUAGAACUUUUUCAUCUUGCAAAUCUGAAACUCUAUACCAAUUAAAGAACCACUGUUUCCCGCUGUCAUCUUUACCAAGUCACCUUCCAGAGAAUGAACUUAUUUCUGAGAGGGAAAGGAUAGACAGUGUUUUCAUUUUUCUCUUUCCUCUCUGUCAGAGUCAAGUGCCAGAGGAAGCACAACAGCUGCCACACUAACUUUUAAUGCAGAUCUUCUGUCACUGGAAAGUCUCGAAUCUUCAUUUAGAUACUUAUGUUGAGACACAAUACACAAACAGUGUGCCUAAUUAGAGCUUGGGGGAUCUACAGUGUACGCGAAUUUGAAACUAUUUUACAUCAUGAAGAAGCUACUUGUUAGCAAUGAUUUGUGAUAAAACUGGGGGAAAAAUAACACAAGAAAUUUAUUUUCUAGGAUUUCUCCAAAAGUCAGUUGCAAAGCAAUAGUAGUCAGUGAAAGAAAUCACUAACUCAUAAUUCUUAUAAUUCUUAUUUCUAAUCCUUUUAAACUGAUGAUUAAAAGAAAUCACUGAGGCUGGCCUGGUGGUGCACUGGUUAAGUUCAUACAUUCCGUUUAGGCGGCCCUGGCUUCACUGGUUC